RNAcentral lists this ribosomal RNA (120 nucleotides) under Allium grayi. The record is from RNAcentral. Lineage: Eukaryota; Viridiplantae; Streptophyta; Magnoliopsida; Asparagales; Amaryllidaceae.
GGGUGCGAUCAUACCAGCACUAAAGCACCGGAUCCCAUCAGAACUCCGAAGUUAAGCGUGUUUGGGCGAGAGUAGUACUAGGAUGGGUGACCUCCUGGGAAGUCCUCGUGUUGCACUCCU